GGCUAACGCUGGCGGCGUGUCUUAGCCAUGCAAGUCGAGCGGACUUAUGGGGUAACUUAUAAGUCAGCGGCGGACGGCGGAGUAACACGUAGCUAACCUACCCUCUGGACGGGGAUAACCUACCGAAAGGUGGGCUAAUACCCGAUGUAGUCAUCCUGUAUAGGGGUGAUGAAAGGUGGGCUUCUGUUUACAAGCUCAUGCUGGAGGAGGGGGCUGCGGCCUAUCAGGUAGUUGGUAGGGUAAUAGCCUACCAAGCCGAUGACGGGUAGCCGGCCUGAGAGGGUGACCGGCCCGAGGGGCACUGAGAUACGGGUCCCACUCCUACGGGAGGCAGCAGGCUAGAAAUUUGGGCAAUGGGGGAAACCCUGACCCAGUGACGCCGCGUGCAGGAAGGAGCCCUUCGGGGUGUAAACUGCUGUCGUGUAGGGAGAAGGGGUACUAAGGUGAACAAUCUUAGUACUUGACGGUACUACAGGAGGAAGCCCAGGCUAACCUCGUG
RNAcentral lists this ribosomal RNA (499 nucleotides) under uncultured bacterium. RNAcentral's name for it is "bacterial SSU rRNA". It matches the Rfam family "Bacterial small subunit ribosomal RNA", at positions 28 to 507 of the family's 1533-position model. The record is from RNAcentral.